Molecule: ribosomal RNA, 1120 nt
Filed under: Staphylococcus chromogenes
Lineage: Bacteria; Bacillati; Bacillota; Bacilli; Caryophanales; Staphylococcaceae
Description: bacterial SSU rRNA
Rfam family: Bacterial small subunit ribosomal RNA
Source: RNAcentral
AGAGUUUGAUCCUGGCUCAGGAUGAACGCUGGCGGCGUGCCUAAUACAUGCAAGUCGAGCGAACUGACGAGGAGCUUGCUCCUUUGACGUUAGCGGCGGACGGGUGAGUAACACGUGGGUAACCUACCUAUAAGACUGGAAUAACUCCGGGAAACCGGGGCUAAUGCCGGAUAACAUAUCGAACCGCAUGGUUCGAUAGUGAAAGACGGUCUUGCUGUCACUUAUAGAUGGACCCGCGCCGUAUUAGCUAGUUGGUGAGGUAACGGCUCACCAAGGCAACGAUACGUAGCCGACCUGAGAGGGUGAUCGGCCACACUGGAACUGAGACACGGUCCAGACUCCUACGGGAGGCAGCAGUAGGGAAUCUUCCGCAAUGGGCGAAAGCCUGACGGAGCAACGCCGCGUGAGUGAUGAAGGUCUUCGGAUCGUAAAGCUCUGUUGUUAGGGAAGAACAAAUGUGUAAGUAACUGUGCACAUCUUGACGGUACCUAACCAGAAAGCCACGGCUAACUACGUGCCAGCAGCCGCGGUAAUACGUAGGUGGCAAGCGUUAUCCGGAAUUAUUGGGCGUAAAGCGCGCGUAGGCGGUUUUUUAAGUCUGAUGUGAAAGCCCACGGCUCAACCGUGGAGGGUCAUUGGAAACUGGAAAACUUGAGUGCAGAAGAGGAAAGUGGAAUUCCAUGUGUAGCGGUGAAAUGCGCAGAGAUAUGGAGGAACACCAGUGGCGAAGGCGGCUUUCUGGUCUGUAACUGACGCUGAUGUGCGAAAGCGUGGGGAUCAAACAGGAUUAGAUACCCUGGUAGUCCACGCCGUAAACGAUGAGUGCUAAGUGUUAGGGGGUUUCCGCCCCUUAGUGCUGCAGCUAACGCAUUAAGCACUCCGCCUGGGGAGUACGGUCGCAAGACUGAAACUCAAAGGAAUUGACGGGGACCCGCACAAGCGGUGGAGCAUGUGGUUUAAUUCGAAGCAACGCGAAGAACCUUACCAAAUCUUGACAUCUUUUGACCACUCUAGAGAUAGAGUUUUCCUCUUCGGAGGACAAAAUGACAGGUGGUGCAUGGUUGUCGUCAGCUCGUGUCGUGAGAUGUUGGGUUAAGUCCCGCAACGAGCGCAACCCUUG